CCUGAGGGUUCCGCCAUCUUGUACAACAGCGCCACCAACUGGGGAACAGUAUUUUAACCCAUGGGGCUGUGAGGUGCAUUUCAACAUGCUAACCACAGCAAGUAAUAUGUUAUAUUUCCUACCAUGAACUAAACGGAAGUAGGUAAAGUCUCACAGGGCAGAACCAGGGAAGGGCACAGCACUGUCAUGUUGUUGAGGAUUCCCCAAGCUCUGCCUAAUAUUCGGCUGUGGGUCUCCACGUCUGUUUCCACCAGCCACUGGGCGCAGCUUCUCUGAUGACAAUUGGGAUCUGUGAUUUAAUUCUGCUGUUGCAGACCCUCUUUCAUGCUCUUCCCUGAGCCUUGAAGGCAGCAAUAAGAAUGCUCCGUUUACGGCUGAGAUUUCAACAGUCACUUACUCGUAACGCCUCGACCUGUAAGGAGUCUCUGUAAUCACUGCUACCUAUGGCAAGAAGCUUUUCUGACCAAAGGAGAAUCACAUUAAAUGGACAUUGUGCUGUCUUCAUCCACUCCUUUAAUCUUAUGCAGUUUUCCGCAUUAGUGCCAUGCUUCAAACCCUGCCCGGUGUGGUGGGUCCAGACACCUGCUGCGUGAAAACCCCACCUUUCCUUGGGAGAUGAGAAGCAAACCCCUCUGCAGCCUUCGGAUCUGUGACAGAGAGCCACGUGGGCUUGGGUACAAUAAAACCAGAUCAAUCAAAUCAUAUUUUUAGAGCUUGCAGCACUUAGAUACCGUGAUGACUGAUGUUAUGUGUCAAGAUAAUUGACGCUCAGAUAAUUGAUUAUUUCUGGCAUGUCCAUGAAGAUUUCCAAAAGACAUUAGUAUGUGAAUUGAUAAGCAAAGUAUAUCUGCUCUCACAAGGAUCAUCAAAGCCUUUGAGAGCUUAGUAGAUGUCUUUUUAGAGUUACUGUUGCUGUGAUGAAAUACCAUGAGCAAAGAAACUUAGGGAGGAGAGGGUUCAUUUGGUUCACAUGUCCACAGCACUGCUAAUCAUCAAUGGAAGUCAGGACGGGAACUCACACAGGGCAGGAACCUGGAAUUAAGAGCUGGUGCAGAGGCCAUGGAGGGAUGCUGCUUGCUGCCUUGCUCACCAUGGCUUGCUCUCUUGUAGAACGCAGGACACCAGCCCAUGGGAUGACACCACCCACAACGAACUGGGCCUCCUCUAUCAAUCUUUAAUUAUGAGAAUGUGACAGCUGGAUCUCAUGGAGGCAUUCUCUCACUUGAGGUCCCCUCCUUUCGGAUAACUCAAACUUGUGUCAACUUGACAUAAAACUGUCCAAGACAGUAGAAGAAAGGGGGCAGAGAAAAAAAUGCCUUUUCUUUCUAAGCUGGAGUGUCCAUCGUGGAGGAUCAUCUUGGUUGUCAGUAACAUGCCCAGGAUGGGGAGACCUCAAUUCAAGAACUGCCCCUACCAGCUUGGUCCAUGGGCUCAUUUUCAUGAUUGCUAAUUGUCAUAGGAGGGCCCACACCCACCAUGGAUGGUAGGUACCACUCCUAAGCUGAGGGCCCAGGAUGCUCAAGAAAGAUGUGGAGCAUGAUCCUGGCAGAAGGCUCUAUUAUUUUUAAGAAUUUAAGAAAUAUUGCAGUAGGUCUUUGAAACUUUAGUAACAUCCAGCUGCCAUGUUCAGUACCUCAAGCCUCUCUGAUUCUGAUUCAACUAGAUGGCGUAAUUCUAGAAAUCCAUACAUUUCUCCCAGGUUAUCAAAUGUGUUUCUGUAGGGUUAUUCACAAUAGUUUACGAUGACUUUUACAAGUUUUAAUUUUGUUUUAUUUGUGCAUGUUGGAAUGGGUACAUGUAUGUAUUUAGGUAUGUUUGUACAUGUGUGUAUUUUGCUAUUGGCACAUGUGUAUGUUUAGUAUAGAUGGAUGGAUAUGAACACAUGUACAUAUUUGGGUGUGUUUAUGCAUUGUGCAUGUUGUUAUGAGUACAUGUGUAGGUCGAUGUCUAUAUGUAGGUGAGGGCUGGUACAAGUUAGGUCAAGACUCAUGAUUGGACUGUAAAUAAUAAGGCGGGGACAAAGCUUUUGUAAGGUGGGAGAGAAAGGAAAGAGGGAGAUUCAAGACGGAGACAGAGAAGGAGGACCCAGAUGACGUUGGUCUUGAGUUGCCGAGGUAGUUAUGCAUAUUUCUUAAGGGGUGGAUUUCUGUAGGCAAAUUUAUCUUAUCUAGAUGGGCAGUUUAUAUCCUUAUCAAUUGGUUGUGAGUUUAUUGUGUGGAUGUAUUGUAGAUUGAGAAUUUAACAUAUAAACCUGAUUGAUAAAUUACAGCUUAUUGAGUCCUGAUUUCACCGGGUAGUUGGGAGUUUAUACCUUAACUAACAGGGAGUGGUUGCUGAGAGUGUGGGCCGAGUUCCAUGGCAGGGAGCCGCCAUAGGCCAGCCACUGCUCGACUUCUAGAGCCCUGAGUUUAGGUUAGUUGCAUAUGGCCCUUCAGUGCUGGAACUGGCUCUAGGUGCUCAUGGACUGCCUGGGUCAGAGGGUACUUGAGGGCAGUGGAGCUGCUGAGA
Rattus norvegicus (Norway rat) is the source of this 2508-nucleotide non-coding RNA. NCBI's taxonomy places the organism in Eukaryota, Metazoa, Chordata, Mammalia, Rodentia, Muridae. The record is from RefSeq and is a predicted model, not a curated record.